This 463-nucleotide non-coding RNA is filed under the name Pongo abelii (Sumatran orangutan). Lineage: Eukaryota; Metazoa; Chordata; Mammalia; Primates; Hominidae. The record is from RNAcentral.
CUCCCCUGGCACCACCCUCACCCCGCAGCUCCCCCCAUACACACCCUCGCUGGAAAGUUCGCCCUGCCCGGGCUGGGCUCCCAGGCAGCCUGGCACCGUGCCAGGCUCGCCGCCGAGCUCGGGCAGCAGGGUGGGGCAAACGCAGAGCACGGAGGACAGGGCCGGGCGACCUGGGCACCAGCAGGACCCGAGGCCAGGAGCCAGGGGCCCAGAAGAUUGAGCUUCUAGAGCCUCAGAGAUGGAAUUCACUGUUUUGCCGCGAUUUGACGUUAAAUUAUUGACCCAUGGGGAGGAGGGUAACUUCCCCUGAAAAGAAGGCAGAGAUGUUUUGCUGUGCCCAGUGUGAGGAAGCGAAGGAAAAGAAAGAUCUUUUGAAAAUGUGUACAUUUACUUGCAGCUUAAAAAUUCCAAGUGCCAGACAUUUUUCUUGGAGGAAAUAAAUGUCUUCAAUUUAUUAAUCUUA